RNAcentral lists this transfer RNA (84 nucleotides) under Canis lupus familiaris (dog). It matches the Rfam family "tRNA". Rfam says of the family: Transfer RNA (tRNA) molecules are approximately 80 nucleotides in length. Their secondary structure includes four short double-helical elements and three loops (D, anti-codon, and T loops). Further hydrogen bonds mediate the characteristic L-shaped molecular structure. tRNAs have two regions of fundamental functional importance: the anti-codon, which is responsible for specific mRNA codon recognition, and the 3' end, to which the tRNAs corresponding amino acid is attached (by aminoacyl-tRNA synthetases). tRNAs cope with the degeneracy of the genetic code in two manners: having more than one tRNA (with a specific anti-codon) for a particular amino acid; and 'wobble' base-pairing, i.e. permitting non-standard base-pairing at the 3rd anti-codon position. Lineage: Eukaryota; Metazoa; Chordata; Mammalia; Carnivora; Canidae. The record is from Rfam by way of RNAcentral. RNAcentral also lists the same sequence under 1 other name.
ACCUGUGUGGCUCAGUCAGUUGAGCAUCUGACUUUAACUCAGAUCUUGAUCUCAGGAUCCUGGGAUUGAGCCCAGCAUCAGGUU